UCAUUUUAUAAAUAGGGGGUUGAACCCCCUCAUUUUAUGGAUCGAAUUAUGAAUUUUAUACCCAAAUGUUGCCGCACUAGAACCAGACUUUGCCAAACCCCGCACUAACCCUAGACAUGUAUGUUCAUAACUUAACCUAGCACGCCUAAACACCUAAACCUUGCAUUUCACAAACUCCUCAAGUUCAUUAGCCUUCUAUUGCCUCGCUCGACAGACCCUGAAGGACUCAGUGAAUGUCGUGCAGGUAUACUGAUCCUGAAUCGGCUUAAGGUACGCUUCCAUUUUCUUUACUUUAUUACAUUCUCGUCUAUUUAUAAAAACCCUUUUGCAAUUCCUUCCCCUCGUCUUGGUACCCUGAUUUUAGAACUUUCUUGUGAAUUUCUAGUUUUGUGGUGUUGGCUUCAUAAAAACCCUUUUGCAAUUCCUUCCCCUCGUCUUGGUACCCUGAUUUUAGAACUUUCUUGUGAAUUGCUAGUUUUGUGGUGUUGGAAGCCAGCACUACUGGCAAUCCGAGAGAGGGCGGUCUUAUGGCCAGUCUCUUAUCCGAGUCGUAAUUUAAUAAGACCCAUACUCUAUUGAACCCUUUUUUGACGAGUUUGCGCCUGAAAACGAGGUGGGGACUCCAAUCUCUAACGAAAUUUUCAAGUAUAAAUAAGUUUCAAGGGUAGUUUGACUGGGUAUUAUAGAUGGUUAGUAAGAUAUCUUUUGUAUUUCAAAAUAUUUGAUGUAACUCUCAUGAAUAUAAUAGAUUUCAGAUUGACAUGGCUGUGGAUGUAGUAGCUCUUUGGUGUGACUUAAUCUUUAUAUUCAUGUGGUCCGUAUAUUUUAUGCUUUAUUUAUCGUAUUAUGGUUUGUACUCUCACCUAUUUUUUAUUCUAGCCUGUUAAGUAAACAAUCUUGGUGAAGUCCAACUUUCAAAUUCCUGUUUCCAUGUCUAAGAGGGCUCUUAAGCCCUAAUAGUAAAAUCAUUUAAGUAAAACAAAAAUGCAUCUAAAGCGACUUAGGAUGCAUUUAAAACAAGGUUUAAAUACUUGGCUUGGGUUUAGGACUAGGCCAGGCCAAAUAAAAUAUAUAGAAAAGGGGGUCAGGCCGGGAAAGCCAAACCAGCCCAGCCUUGGCCGGGGCCCAGCCCUACCCUUGAGCCAUGGUUGCCAGCCUCUAGCCCAGCCCUUGAAUCACAUGUUGUGGCCCAUGCCCUAAUUUUUUAGGGCCGGACUAACCCAUCCCAUUGCCACCUAUAACAGGGAGAAGGAAUUUCUGCCCCUUUCAGAUAGAGAGAGGGAGAUUGUCGAUAGGAGGGCUGAUUUAUGUGCUAUUUUUUGGGAGAGAGAGACAAAAGAAAGGGGCAAGACCCCUAUUUUUUGAUUUUUUUAUAUCACUAACAAUACUUGGGCCAAAAGCGCAACUCGUCCGAGUACUAUAUAAACCGAUGAGUCAGCCCGAGUUCUAUAGUACUAGGGUGAAUCAGCCAGAUUUCAACAGUACCCGAGCAAGUCAUUGUAGUACUCACUAGAGUACCUGUACAUGUUCCCAUGUACCUCAGUAAGUAAAUGAAAGCUUGAUUAGUCUAUAAACGGAAGCCGCGUCAGUCAAACGAGUCUGAGUCGAUUCGGGCGAGUUUUGUUAUCUGGUUUCUAUCCUAAAUCCAUCUCCAAGAUGGUUUUUGAAAUAUCUAAACUGAUUUAAACUCUCUCAAAGAUAAAUUGAUAAAUAACAGUAUAUUGUGGGAGUAGGGGAGAAAGAGAGAUGCCCGUCUCUCCUGGUUUUGGAUGCUGAGAGAGUGAGAGUGUGCAUGCAGAGGACAAAUUUCCAAGUUUUCCCCCUUUUUCUCUUUCUAUUUUCAUGGUAAAAGUUUACCGAAGGCCAAAAUUCCUCUUGUUCUCUCAAGAGAAGAACAUGGUUCCAUAAGUCAAGAAAUAAAAUAAAAUAAAAUGGAAACAUGAAUUUGGAAGGUUUCUCUCAAAAACCUCAUGAAGCUCACUCUGUCCAUUUGACAUCCAUUGUGAUGAUGAAUUCAUUGAAUCACACAAAUGCAAGAGUUCCUCACUCCACCAAAUUCUCCAUCUUCCCACACUCUGUAGAACAAAACCCAAAAAAAAAUAAAAAAAAAUAAAAAUUUUUUUUUAAAAAAAUACACAGAACAACAACAAUAUAUCAAUACUAAAACCAGAAGAAGCCUUUAAAGAAUCACAAGAUGAAUUUAAUGAUCAACAGUAUAAGAGAGAGAGAGAGGGAGAGAGCAUACCCUGAAUCAAACUCUUGGACAUGGGUGAGAUCCUUUCCAUGAGCAUCAGGCCAGUUCACCUUCCUCUUCCCAUGUGCUUCUCCUCCCAUAACCACCUUCUCUCUCUUCAAGUUACUCUUGAGAGGGGGCUCCAUACAAGCCUUUUGCUCUUGCACCUCACCAUCAACAACAUUAGCACCACCUCCCUCAGUGUUCUGAUCAUUUGAUGUGGGUUCACAAAUGACCCCAUUCUUAUUAUUAUUGUUGAUGAUGUUGUUGUUGUUGCUAUGGGCCCUUGAAGGAGCAUAGCAAGAGCAUAUGAAAGAAGAGGAGCACUUCUUUUGUGACGCCAGGUGAUCAAAGUAGGCGGCCCCGGUCCAAAAACCGGUGGCCUAUUCCCAUAAUCCGAUGUCGAAAGCCCCUACGGUGGUGAAUUCCGGCGAUUUGAAUGAUCACUCGGACUAACCCACAUCAAACCUUAUCCUAUGGGGACCUGAAAUGGCUCUAGAACUCUCCUAACACUUAUACAGCUCUAGUAUGUGCUCUCUCUCUCUCAAGAUGGAACUGCAACUUCCAACACUUGAAAAUAAGUGAUAACAGACUCUCUCUCUCUCAAAUGGAGCUCCAACUUCCACCACUUGAAAUGAGGGUUAACAGUUUCUCUCUCUCUCUCUCUAAACACCACUGUAAAUGGGCAGAAUUUGAGUUUUAACACAAUCCAUCUCUCUCUCUCUGUCUCUAAACACCACUGUAACUGGGCAGAAUUUGAGUUUUAACACAAUCCAUGUCUCUCUCUCAAUCUCUAUCUCUUUCUCUCUCUACAAAAAGUCUAGGUUUGGAAGAUGAGAGAGAAAGUAAAGGAGGUAUGUUUGUUUGGUGAAAAUGAUUGCCAUUGCUUCACAGGGGCAUGUGUGGUAGAGAAAACCGUGAUUGUGCAGCCCAUAAUUAUGAUGCCUUUGGGAAUUUGUCUUAUCCCACAUGAUGAGGUGAAAGGGGAAUAAUGGUUGAUUUCCUCAUCUUUAACUUUUUAUGGAUAGUGAGGGUGAAAGGGGUGGAAUACAAGCCUAUUCUCCUUUUUUACUUUUUCCACUAGUGGGUGGCUCUUAUUUGGUGACAGCUAUGAGAGAGAGAGAGAUGCCAUUGAAUAUAUAUAUAUAUAUAUAUAUAUAUAUAUAUAUUAAAUAAAUAAAAUAAUAAUAAUAAUAGAGAGCCCCAACUAGAGAGAGAGGGGGGUGCAUUGCGGUUGUGUAGCGGUGGGCAUUGAUCGGAUCCGGAUGAUAAGAAAGGUUUUAGAUCUUAUUCGGAUUUGGGUAUGGACCUAAAAUUUGGAUCGAUUCAGAGGUUUGAAUUGCAUAUUAAAUAGCAUUACCUAGAGUAAAUUUUCUUUUAUAUAUUAAAUGUCAUUACAUGGAGUAAUCUAGAUCUAGAUCUGGAUCCGGAUCCGGAUCAGGAUCUAAUAUAUACUAUUCGGAUCUAGAUCCGGAUUCAAAUAUCCAGGAUCCAUUUUGGACUCGGAUCUUACCGAAAUCUGAUGUAUUAUAUUUGGAUCUAAAUACAGAUCUAGUCGAAUCCGGCCCCAAUCCGAUCUGUUCUCACCCCUAGUUGAGAGGACCACAUUUCAUAUCGAAAAAUAUUCGGUGGUCUGCUGAACCACAUUCUCUCCCUAAAAAAUGGCCACAACUCAAAGGAAUUCCUCCUCUGAAUUUUUUUUUUUAAAAAAUUAUUACGUAUAUUUGGUAUGCAUUAUUGAAAAAUAUUUUUACGUGAAAAAACUCCCUCAUGUAAUUAGGUGUAAGGGUACUUUCACAUCAACUGACUGCCAAUUGAUGUGACAAAAUGUAUUGGGACCAAUUGAUGUAAAAAUACUCUCACAUCUAAACACAUAAAGAAGUUUUUUCAUAUGAAGUAUUUUCACGUAUACCAAAUAUGCCCUUAUAUUAAUUUUUCUCUUCCCUUGGAUUAAACUAAGAGAAAAGCUAUUUAAGUUCCUUGAAUAGGAAAAUCCCAACCUUGAUUUUCGAAAAGGCAAAUCCUAUCCAAGUUCCUUGAAUAGGAAAAUCCUAACCUUGAUUUUCGAAUAGGAAAAUCUCCUAACCUUGAUUUUCGAAUAGGAAAAUCUCCUAACCUUGAUUUUCGAAAAGGAAAAUCCUAUCCAAGUUCCUUGAAGGUGCGUGCUACUCCACUUUAAAACAUCAAAUAACGAGGGCUUUACUUGAAUCAGGUCGGAUCGGGCCAAAAAGGUAUUUAUUAUUAAUAACUAUAUCUAUACGACAUUAUUAAACAAGAGUUCAGGGUGGACACAUGUCACAAAAAUAUAAAAGAUCUGCAAUUGUAUAGAGGUUGUAGGACACAUUCUCCAGCUCUAAGGGUAGAGAGAAAAAUAUAUUUUAGGAGAGAUUUUGAUAAGGAUAUAGAGUAUAGAAGAAGGGGAAGAGAGAAGAGAGAAGAUUUUAGAAAAUCAAGAUUUUAGUAAGAUUUAUUUGAGAGAAUAUGCACAAGAGAGAGAUAAUGAGAGAUUUUAAAAGAGAUUUUGAGAAGCAGAUAAAGAGUAUACAUGCAAGAGAGAAUAAGCACUUAUCCCCAACUCAAAUUCAAGACAUAUAUAUAUAUAUAUAUAUAUAUAUAUAUAUAAGUCUGUUUCUAUAUCCAAGAGGAUUCCCCAUCCAAGCAUGAUAACCGCUCUCAAUGGAUGCACGCCUCAUUUUUUUUUCCCUUAUUUUUUGGUUCAAACUUUCUAAAAUUGCUACCUAUCCCUAACUCAAAUUCAAUUUUUUUUCCCAUAUUUUUUGGUUCAAACUUUCUAAAAUUGCUACCUAUCCCCAACUCAAAUUCAAUAGAGAGAUUUUAAGAGAUAUUUUGAGAAUAAGAGAGAGAAACUACGUGCAAGAGAGAGGAAGGGGAAGAGACAAGAUUUUUAAAAAUUAAGAUUUUAGUAGGAUUUAUUUGAGAGAAUAUGCGCAAAAGAGUGAUAUAAUAAGAAAAUUUAGGAGAGAUUUUGAAAAUGAGAGAGAGUAUGUGCAAGAGAGUACAUGCAAGAGAUAUUUUAGGAUCGAUUUUGAGAAGGAGAGAGAGAGUACGAGUAAGAGUCUCACACUAAGUUAAGACUUUUAUUCUAAUUAGGUUUAGAAAUCUGUCUCUCAACCUCUCAAAAUAGUUUCAUGUGCCCCUCUCAACUUCUCAACAAGGUGUGCUUCGUUUUUCUCUCUGCUUAUGCAUGAGUUUCAUAAAUUUAUUGAUUUAUGGUUUUUAGUUUGUUAUUUAAAUUAAAGAGGUUAUGGGUUUUUUGUUUUUUAAUCAAUGUUUAGGCUAUUUGAAGGGAGAAGUUGAGUUAAGUAUAUGUUAGGAAUUGUUAUGGUUAUUGUUUUUUUGAGGGCUUUGCCGCAUAGAAACCGAGUCCCACAUUAAUAGAAGCUUAGUAGCCAUUGUUGUUGUCCUUUUUUUUUUUUUUUCGAGAUUGUAAACCAUCAGGCGAAGCUUUUGGCACUGAAAUUUGGAGGGUCAAAAUUUCAUCCUAUUGAAAUUCACCUUGGGCAACUGGUUGUUGGUUCCUUGCUUAGUGUAAACCUCUCUCCCACCAUAGCCAUUAUAUCAAACAACAAACUCUACAAUUUAAGGCUAAAAACCCAAGAAUUGGAAGAAAGUUCUAUGAGAAAUUACCCCCAAAAAGCAGUGAGUUUCAUAAAAAUUUGGUGGGCAAUGGUGAGACUAUGAGAGAUUUUCUACGUGGAGUGAAAUGCAGUGCUCAUUCGAAAAUGGAGACGGAGACGGGCUUUGGGAAAGAAACAGGUUUUGAAGGAUGAAAAAGUUUUGUCAACUUUCCCUCUCAAAUAUAGUUGAGCAUCUACUCUUAGUUUUCCAUUGCAGGAACAAAUGAAGCUCAACACAAAAUGCGCAGAAUAAUGGUUUCCAAGUUUAUCAGGCAAGGGCUUGAGAUGGCAUCCCCCGUCUCUAAAUUCUUAAGUAUUAUUAGGAAGAAGCUUGAAAUUAUCAAAAGAAGCACAUGUUGGGUGUGUGUGGCCAUUUAAAGUCUUAUAGAUGCUCAUAAAAGAAUUAUACAGUGGAACAUAAACUCAGUGGUCUUAUUACAAACAAUAAAAAUUCUAAAAAUAAAUAACACAAAAUCCCAACUACUUGAUGCCAUUCAUACAACCUAAUACCGUGCUUAAGAAUAUAAAAUAAAAGAACAAACAAAUAAAAGAAAAGAUGCCAGAGGUUACCUCAACCGAGCUUUUUACACCCCACAUUGAGUCACCACAUCUAAUGGCACGGGAUACGUGGUCUAGCUUCAAUCUUGAACCACGAUAGCUGAUUUUGGUCAAACUAUGUAACUAUCCUUAAAAUCUCUACUAAACCUUAACCCCCAAAACUAACUUACGCUUCCUUCUAAUUUUUUCAACCCUUAGUUUCUUCUUAGGUCUAGAGAGGAGAGAGAAAGUACUACCUAGGGUUUUGGAGAUAGGAAGUUAGAGAGAGAAAUAUGGAGGAGAGAGAGUGAGGAGAGUGGGGUGUUCCCCUCUAGGAGAGAGAGAUGUGUGAGAGAGAGAAGAAAGAGAGGUUGUGUUUGUAGAGAUUGGGGGAGAGCACCCCUAUUUAUAGUAGAUAUUUAGGUUUAGGGUUUCUUAGGGUUUUCCUAUAAUUUGCCUCUUUCAUGAGAUUGAAUCUAGACCGUUGAUCAAAGUGACCUGUGGGAUAAGAGAUCUGAGUCAUCAACAUUAUGGAAGGUGCUUGGACUAUUAUUCCCCUUUCCUUAAACCAUUUUCCCAUCAAUAUAUUUAAAUAAAAUAACUAUCAUGCAUUCCAUAAAAUUGCAUGAUCCAUGUUACAUAUUCCAUAAGGAUAUGUCAAUAAUUAUCAAGCAAAUAAAUACUGCCAAAUAAGAUAAGGUCAAUAUUUCCCUUCUAAGAUUUGACCACAAUCAAAGUUAAUGAAUUUAAUAAACUUGAACACAAAGCAACAAGAGAAUCCAAGGGGUGCGGCGUACCACGCGUUUGUAGCACAUGUGGGCCCCCACCUGCAUGCUAUAUGGUGGGCCCAUGUGCACUUUGGGCCCCCCAUGAAAUUUUAUAAAUAAUUUUAAAAUUAAACAAUUUAAUAUAUGAAUUUUUCCAAUCUUGUAAAAUCAAUAACUGUAUUUUUGUAAGUCCAAAAAACAUAAAUAAAAUAUUGAGGGAUUCAUAAAAAUUCAAAUAAUAAAACUAAAAAUAUUUCAAUAUUAAAAUGAACACAAUUAAAUUAAUAUGAUAGGAAAAGGAUCCAUAUGGUUUUAGGAAUUCAAUCUGUAAUAAUGGGGUACUCCACCUUCAACUGUGGACUACAAACCACACUAGCUUUAUCGAACCGACCCAGUAUUUCCUAUGACACAUAGUCAAAGCAGUAGCUCAUUAGCAGGUCACCAAAGUCAGGUCGAUGAAUCAAGGGGUCCCAAUCCCAGUCUGUGGAUUAUAGGCCAUCCCUUAGAGACGAAUCAAGGUCACCAUGACCUGAUGCGACCACAGCUCUAUGGUGCAUAAGGGUAUCUCUCGUACAUGCAUACGCUUCACCCAAAUGUGGAUAUCUGGCUUUCCCAAACGAUCUACCGAUAUGCAUGCCGUGUGAUAGAAGGUUUUGGCCCCCGUCUCAGUAAGUCUACCAUCACACACAAAGGUCACACAGCCCCUUGGCUUACUUAUCUAGGCAUAAGCUCCAACCUCAUCAAGGGCUAACCCAAAAGCCUAGGUACCUUGGGUUUUCCAACCGAUUGGCCUAGAUCGAUAAACAGAGUCCGGCAUAAGCAAACAUCAUUUGCUUAGUACGGUCAUUGAGGGAUCACACUACCACUAAUUUAUGUUUCACUAUAAUAAAAGUAUUUCAAUACACACUCAUAAGGCCUUUAAAAGCUACAUAAACCCAACAUCUCCCACUUGGCCUAUGAAUGCCUUACGUUCUAUCUUCCUCACUUUCUCUCAUCCCCAUCUCUCUCAUGUCUUACAAAACAUCAGGUACAAUCCCCUUAGAGGGUUUGCAAUCAUCAAAUAUGUAGAUAGGUAGUGGUACAGAGAGCUAUGGAUGGACAGAACUACGUCAACUUUGUCGGGUUAGUAGAUAUGCUAAGCAUAAAAAAACCUAUAGGCGAGGACUCAAACCUAUUACUAUUUACCCAGACAGAAAAUAGGAAACUGGGAUUGUUGGCCAACGACUGCGACUGGCUUGCCUUCCUUAAAAAAGGGCUUCGCCGCACCUGGAACUAGCUCUGAUUUCGAACCAGAAUUCUCAACUAUUUGGCACUACCCUAUCUCUCCCUCCACACCUCUCUUUCCCUCCUUUUCUGCAGGCAAAGCCUUCCCUUGCCCAAGCUGAUCUUGAUCUCUUUCAAUCUCACCUCAUUUCUCAAGUAAUAAAAAUAAAGAUUAAUAUGCUUGGAGUUCUUAUAAAACCGAAGCUCCUUAGAGACACAAGUAGCUGCAGUGUUGUCGUAGAAAAUUCGCACUACCUCACAACGUACAGGAUGAAACUUAAGUUGAUUAAGAAACUUCAUAAUCCACGCGGCCUCCUUGGCUGCUAGACAGCAUGCCACAUACUCGGAUUCCAUGGUGGACAAGGCCACAAUAUCUUGUUUAUUUGACUUUCAAGAAAUCAUACCCCCUCCAAGCCUAAACACAUAUCCAGAUGUAGACUUCGCAUCAUCUGGAUCCGCGAGAUAACUUGCAUCUGAAUAUCCCUAUAUUGCAAUUUCAGUUCCCCACUUCUUUUUACAGCUUUGUGAUGCUCCUCUCUUUGAUUACUUUGGAAGCGGCUCACCAGACUCAUGACGAAGGACAAGUCAGGCCUUGUUCGUCAUAGCAUACAUAAGGGACCUAACUGUGCUCCUGUAUGAUACUCUCUCCAUGGCUCUUAUAUCCAUGUCUUUGGUAGGACACAUCUUAUUAUUAAGCUUCAUUUUUUUGUCAAUUGGGGUAGACAUGGGCUUACACAUACUCAUAUCAAACUUUUCCAAAAUCCUCUUACAGUAGGUUGUCUGGAAAGUUGGAUAGUUUUCUCUCUCCUGUUUUUUAUUAUCUUGAUACCCAACACAUAUGAAGCUUCUCCAAGAUAUUUCAUAUUGAAGUGUUGUGCAAAGAAAGUUUUCGUCGCUACUACUAGGACAAUUGAGUUACUAACAAUUAGCAUAUCAUCCACAUAUAAUGAUAUAAAGACUGCAUCAUUCCUACUGACCUUUUGAUAUAUGCAAUAAUCCUCAUUAUUUGUGAAGAACUCUGUAAGAGCAAGGGUCUCCUGGAAUUUUAUAUACCACUAUCACGAUGCUUAUUUCAGGCUAUAAUGGGAUUUUAUUAAGUUUGCAUACUAGGUUCUCUUUCCCUUUCUCCUCAAAUCCCUCAGGUUGGGUCAUGUAAAUUUCUUCUUCUAAAUCCCCAUUUAAAAAUAUUGUUUUAACAUCCAUUUGAUGAACCUCAAAGUCAAAAUGGGCUGCUAUAGCUAUAAGGAUUCGGAUGGAUGAAAAUUUGGCAACAGGAAAAAAAGUUUCCCCAUAAUCUAUCUCUUCUUUCUGGGUGAAAUUAUUUGCAACCAACCUAGCUUUGUAUUUUAUUAUUUUCCCUUCAAAGUUCAACUUUUUCUUGAAAAUCUACUUGCAACCAAUGACCUUACGUUUUUGAAGUAGAGGUACUAAUUCCCAUAUAUGGUUUUGGUUAAUGGAAGCAUACUCAUCUUUCAUGGCUUCUACCCAGUAUUCCUUUUCAGGACAGGUCAAGGCUUCAUGAUGAGUUCUAGGUUCUAAAUCUGGAUCUUCUCCAACCUUAUCAAAAUAUUCUCCAAGCUAGACAAAAUGUUCUAGAUAAAGCGGUGGUCUACUGACUCGGUUACUUCAUAUUGGUUUAAAUAAAGAUUCACUUUCUUUAAAGAGUUCAAGAACAGGUUGCGUUGGUUUCGAAGUUUCAGGUUCAGGGUCUCGAACUACAUUCUUGUUUUUGGCCUCCUCAUAAAAGUUGACUUGUUUUCUACUCACCCUUACUUCAAGGAACUCUUCCUCGAAGAAGUGAGCAUCGCAACUUUCAAUAACCGUAAAUGUUUCAAGGUUGUAGAAUUGAUACCCCUUACCAUGAUAUGGGUAACCAAUGAAAAUGGAUUUGACAGUCUUGGGUUGCAAUUUGGUUCUAUUUUUAUGUGGGAUAAGGACAUAGGCUGAGCAACCCCAAACUUUCAGGUGUUCAAGGGAGGGAGUACGACCUGUGAAAAUUUCGUGAGGAGUAAGUGGGGCAGCUUUUGUAGGAGUUCGGUUAAGGAUGUAACAUGCCGUUAAAAUAGCUUCUCCCCAAAAAUCCAAUGAGAGAUUUGCAUGCCUCAUCAUACUCCUUACCAUUUCCUCUAAGGUCAUAUUCUUUCUCUCAGCUACACCAUUUUGUUCAGGAGUAUAAUGCAUGGUGUAUUGAUGGAUGAUCUCAUUUUCAAUGCACAAUUCUUUGAAAAUGUCAGAUGAAUAUUCUCCUCCUCUAUCGGUUCUAAGGACUUUAAUUUUCAGGUUAGUUUGAUUCUCUACCUGGGCUUUAUAUUCUUUGAAUUUUUCUAGAUCUUCUGAUUUUGCAUGAAUAAGGUACACAUGGCCAUAUCACGAGUGAUCAUCUAUAAAAGAGAUAAAAUAUCUUUUUUCACUUUUUGUGGCUACAUUCAUAGGUCCACAUAUGUCACUAUGAAUGAUUUCCAAUACACUAGUAGCUUUUUUUGCCCUGGUAGUAUUUUUCUUUGCACACAAGACUCACACACUUUCGAUAAAUCUCCCUUAUAAUUUUAAAGAAUCUCAUCCCUUUUUAAUCUUUCCAUUCACUUGAUAUUAAUAUGUCCUAACCUCAUAUGCCAUAUGGUAGCAUCCAAUUCAUUAAGGGACGAGACAUAAGCAACAUUCUCUUUUAUUUAAAUAAUAAGUAGCUCAUCUACAAGUCGUCCAGUCAUGAUCACAUUAUUGGCAAGUUUCAUACGGAGUAUUCCGGCGGCCCACUUCAUCCCAUGUAAGUGCACUAUCGAUUCCUCUAAUGUUGCAACUUUGUUCUUUCGAGAAGUAGUUAGAUUGCAUGGGGUGCUUAAAACUAUCUAUAGUUAGAUUGCAUGGGGUGCUUAAAACUAUCACUUCUGAUCGAGACACUCGUUAUGUGGGUAACUUUUUGAAGACUUCUUUAUGGAAGAUCAUGAGAACAAUGCUAGACUUCCCACCAAUAACUUAGAUUGCUCGGGCUUGGAUAAUUUAUCAAAUGCUGGUUAAGUGUGGAGGAUAUGGGUUGUUUCAAAAGAGAGAAUCGUUGGUUCUAGGAACUCUAAUAACGAUUAAAAGACUACCCGGACUAUGUUUAUGUUAUUUCCUCCCCCCCCCCCCCCCCGAAAAACUACUAGUCCUUCAGUCGUUCACUGCGUUCACUCACUCCGUUCGCUACGCUCACUGUGCACUCAGCCUAAAGGCUUUGCUUGCCCACCGUUCACUACGCUCUCUCCUAAUGAAAGUGCUUGUGAAUCCAGCCAUAGACAUAUUAAGAACCGAAACCAAGCACUUCUUCAUAUCAGGAGCAUAAAGUGCUUUUUUUAGGAUCAAGGUGUUCUCACUCUUCAGUUUCAGCUCAAAAUCUCCAACUUCAAGAACAUCAGUCUUCUGAUUUCCUCCCAUGUAAAUUUGCUGCUAUCCUGGCUCCAUGGGAGUGAAAGAACGAAAACCUUCUUAGGUGUUUAUGACAUGUGCCGUAGCACCCGAGUCAAGACACCAAGAGGCUCCCUUGGGGUCAGCUAGCAUAGACUCAAAAACCACACAUGCCAAUUCCUUGUUGGUCCCUCCAUAUUUGUUAAACCAACAACUAUUGGCUAUGUGGCCCACCUUUUUGCAAAUAAAGCAAGUUUGAGUCUCUCUUUUCGCUCCCUUAUUUCAAAAAUCUCUCCUUUUGAAAUCUCUUUUCUUUCCAAAAUUAUUUCUUCCCUUUCACUUCUUAAAUUUAAAAGGUGGAGACUUUACCAUAUGCACGGCUUCCCUUAGAGUCGUUGUCAGUAGGUGCCUUGAAUUUCUCCUCUCCUCUUCUGUUUUGAUCGUAGUGAUGAGCUCCUCCAGUUUUAGUGUUUUCCUUCUGGCUGAGAUGGAAGAUAUGAAAGUCUCCCAUGAAUUAGGAAGUGAAUUCAUAAGAUGAACUACUUGCAUAGGUUCAUUAGGUUUCAUGCAUGUAUCUUCUAAGUCUCUAACUAAUGCACGAAACACAUGCACAUAAUCUGUAAACUUAGUACAUUCUGUCAUCUUUAAUUCAUUAUAUUGUCUCAUAGACAUGGUUUGCUUUAUAAGAGAGGGUUCAACAUACUGUCUCUCAAGUUUAUCAUAAAUUUUACUUGCAGUAUUGAUUGACUCAUACUUAGAAGCAUAUGAAUCAGUCAUGACAAAUAAAAGAAUGUGUUUGCAUAUCAGAUUCUUUCUCUUCCAAUUGGCAUACUCAUCUUUAAUGCUUGAGAUGAGUCGUCAAUUGGACGACGAGGUCGGUCCUCAAAGAGUACCUCAUGCAAGUUUUCCUCAUAAAGCACAAAUUUGAUUUUUCUUUUUCAUGAGACAAAAUUGGUCCCAUCUAACCUUUUGGUUUUCAGGAUCUCUGAGAUGAAGGUAUGAGCAACCAUAUAUUUCUAUUCUCAAGCAAAAAUAAGAAAAGACUCCUAAUGACAAUCAAGUAAAACUAGCUCUGAUACCAAUGAAAGAAAGACCUAUGUGAUAUUUUGCCGGGUAUAUACAAUUUUUAUUUAUUUAUUUAUUUUUAUUUUUUUUAUAAGAAAUAAUCACCCCUUAUAAUUUUGGCAACAAGAUCACUCAUAGAUGAUCUUAUUACAAACAAUAUAAAUUCCAAAAAUAAAUAACACAAUAUCCCAACUACUUGAUGUCAUUUAUACAACCUAAUACUAUGCUUGAGAAUAUAAAAUAAAAGAACAAACAAAUAAAAGAAAAGAUGCCAGAAGUUACCUCAACCGAGCUUUUUACACCCCACACCGAGUCACCACAUCCAAUGGCGCGGGAUCUGUGGUCUAGCUUCAAUUUCGAACCGAAAUAGUUGAUUUUGGCAAAACUAUAUAACUACGCUUAAAAUCUCUACUAAACCUUAACCCCCAAAACUAACUUAGGCUUCCUUCUAAUUUUUUCAACCCUUAGUUUCUUCUUAGGUCUAGAGAGGAGAGAGAGUACUACUAGGGUUUUAGAGAGAAGAAGUUAGAGAGAGAAAUAUGGAGGAGAGAGAGUGGGGUGUGUCCUUCUAAGAGAGAGAGGUGAGAGAGAGAGAAGAGAGAGAGUGGUUGUGUGUGUAGAGAUUGGGGGAGAGCACCUUUAAUUAUAGUGGAUAUUUAAGUUUAUGGCUUCUUAGGGUUUUUCCAUAGUUUGCCUCUUUCAUGAGAUUGAAUCUAGACCGUUGAUCAAGGUGACUUAUGGGAUGGGAGAUCUGAGCAAUCCAUUCUAUAGGCUUGAACCAUUAUCCCCCUUUCCUUAAACCAUUUUCCCAUCAAUAUAUUUAAAUAAAAUAAAUAUCAUGCAUUCUAUAAAAUUGCAUGAUCCAUGUCACAUAUUCUAUACAGAAAUAUCAAUAAUUAUCAGGCAAAUAAAUACUACUAAAUAAGAUAAAGGCAAUAUUUCUCUUCCAAGAUUUGACCACAUACCACAAAUCAAAGUUACAAUAUUUAAUAAACUUGAACACAAAGCAACAAGAAAAUCCAAGGGGUGGGGCGUGCCACCCCUUUGUGGCACAUGUGGGCCCCCACCCACAUGCCACAUGGUGGGCCCACGUGCACUUUGGGCCCUCCAUAGAAUUUAUAAACAAUUUUAAAAUUAAACAAUUUAAUAUAUGAAUUUUUACAAUAUUGUAAAUUCAAUAACUAUAUUUUUAUAAGUCCAAAAAACAUAAAUAAAAUAUUGAGAGACUCAUAAAAGUUCAAAUAAUAAAACUAAAAAUAUUUCAAUAAUAAAAUGAAUACAAUUAAAUUAAUAUAAUGGGAAAAUGAUCCAUAUAGUUUUAAGAAUUCAAUCUGUAAUAAUGGGGUACUCCACAUUCAACUGUGGACUACAUGUCACACUAGCUUUAUCGAACCGAUCCAGUGUUUCUUAUGACCCAUAAUCCAAGCAGGGGCUCAUUAGCAUGUCACUAAAGUCAGGUCGAUGAAUCAAGGGAUCGCAAUCCCAGUCUGUGGAUUACAGGUCCUCCUAUAGAGACGAGUCAAAGUCACCAUGAUCUGAUGCGAUCACAACUCUAUAGUGAAUAGGGGUAUCUCUCGCACAUGCAUACGCUUUACCCAAAGGUGGAUAUCUAGCUUUCUCGAACGAUCUAUCAAUAUGCAUGCCGUGUGAUGGAACAUGGAUGAUGUUUUGGCCCCCGUCUCAGUAGGCCUACCAUUACACACAAGGGCCACACAGUCCCUCGGCUCAUUCAUCUAUGCAUAAGCUUCGACCUUAUCAAGGGCGAACCCAAAACCCUCAUCGGUUUAAUUCUUUAUGCCCAGGUACUUUGGGUUUUUCAACCGACUGGCCUAGAUCGAUAAGCACAGUCCGGCAUAAACAAACAUCAUUUGCUUAGUAUGGUCCUCGAAGGAUCACACUCCCACUNNNNNNNNNNNNNNNNNNNNNNNNNNNNNNNNNNNNNNNNNNNNNNNNNNNNNNNNNNNNNNNNNNNNNNNNNNNNNNNNNNNNNNNNNNNNNNNNNNNNNNNNNNNNNNNNNNNNNNNNNNNNNNNNNNNNNNNNNNNNNNNNNNNNNNNNNNNNNNNNNNNNNNNNNNNNNNNNNNNNNNNNNNNNNNNNNNNNNNNNNNNNNNNNNNNNNNNNNNNNNNNNNNNNNNNNNNNNNNNNNNNNNNNNNNNNNNNNNNNNNNNNNNNNNNNNNNNNNNNNNNNNNNNNNNNNNNNNNNNNNNNNNNNNNNNNNNNNNNNNNNNNNNNNNNNNNNNNNNNNNNNNNNNNNNNNNNNNNNNNNNNNNNNNNNNNNNNNNNNNNNNNNNNNNNNNNNNNNNNNNNNNNNNNNNNNNNNNNNNNNNNNNNNNNNNNNNNNNNNNNNNNNNNNNNNNNNNNNNNNNNNNNNNNNNNNNNNNNNNNNNNNNNNNNNNNNNNNNNNNNNNNNNNNNNNNNNNNNNNNNNNNNNNNNNNNNNNNNNNNNNNNNNNNNNNNNNNNNNNNNNNNNNNNNNNNNNNNNNNNNNNNNNNNNNNNNNNNNNNNNNNNNNNNNNNNNNNNNNNNNNNNNNNNNNNNNNNNNNNNNNNNNNNNNNNNNNNNNNNNNNNNNNNNNNNNNNNNNNNNNNNNNNNNNNNNNNNNNNNNNNNNNNNNNNNNNNNNNNNNNNNNNNNNNNNNNNNNNNNNNNNNNNNNNNNNNNNNNNNNNNNNNNNNNNNNNNNNNNNNNNNNNNNNNNNNNNNNNNNNNNNNNNNNNNNNNNNNNNNNNNNNNNNNNNNNNNNNNNNNNNNNNNNNNNNNNNNNNNNNNNNNNNNNNNNNNNNNNNNNNNNNNNNNNNNNNNNNNNNNNNNNNNNNNNNNNNNNNNNNNNNNNNNNNNNNNNNNNNNNNNNNNNNNNNAUGGACUAUACCAAGCAAACAAUGUUCGAUGAUAUUAGACUGUGUUUAACAUGUUAGGUUAGUCUGGUUGGGGAAAACACAUAUUACCUAUGCAUAGAGAAACAUGCUGAUGAGGGUUAGAUAGGUUAUCCCUUGAUGAGGUUGGAGUAUGCUCGAAAGAGUGAGCCGAGGGACUGUGUGACCCUUGUGUGUGAUGGAGGUCUUCAGAAAUGGGGCCAAAGCCUCAUCAUUUGUAUCAUCACACGGCAUGCAUAUCGAUAAUCGUUUUCAAGAAAGCAUACUACCUUUCAUGGUGAAGCUUGUGCAUGUGCGAGAGAUACCCCAUAUGCAUCAUCGAGCUAUGAAUUGCAUCAGGUCAUAAUGACGUUGGUUUUGUCUCUAGGGGGAACCUGAAAUCCAUAUAUUGGGAUUGCAACCUUUAUCUAUUGUUUAGACUUUGGUGACCUACUAAUGAUCCCCUGCAUAGACUGUGGGUCAUGGGCAACGCUGGGUCGGUUUGAGAAAGCAUGUGUGGUUCGUAGUUCGCAGUUGGACAUAAAGUGCCCCAAUGGAUAUUUAUUCCUAGACCAUAUGGAUCAUUUUCCCAUUAAAAUAUUUAAUUUUAUUUAUUUUAAUAAUAAGUGAUUUUUAGAAUUUUUAUUUGAAUUUUUGUGAAUCUCUGGAUAUUUUACUUAUCAAAUUUAGAUUUAUAAAAACAAAGAUAUUUAUUUUAUAAGUACUUAAAUAUUUAAAUAAUAAUUUUAUGUUUUUUAAAUAAUUUAUAAUAUAAUUGCAUGGGAGACCCAAUAGGAUUUUUGGGCCCACCAUAGCAAAUUUGGUGGGGCCAAUUAUGUGCCACAAUGGGUGGCAUGCCCCACCUAAGACACUUUCUAUUUUUUGUAAUGAAGCUUUAAAGCUUGAGAGAUAAGUUUGUAUUGUUUUAAAAAAGCUUAAACCUUGAGGAAAUUUUGAUUGAUAUUUUAGUAUGUAUGAGAAGGCUUAUGUAUAAAAAAAGAAAGAAUAAUAUUAUCAUAUAUUAAUUUUUCAUUUGAAUUAAUUAAUGGGAAAAUAAUUUAAGAAAUGGAGGAUAAUGAUUCUAGCACCUUCCAUAAAAUGUUGAUGGCCCAUCUAUGGAAUAGAUAACUCAUAUUUCUCAUCCAACAGAUCACUAAAAAUCAAUGGUGCAUAUUCAUUCUCACAUGAGUGGUAAGCCAAGAAAAACUUCAAACACUAUAAAAGAGGAGUACCCUACCUAAUCUCUGUACCAUAUCUCUUAUACUUAAAAUCUCUCUUCUCUCUCCCAUAUACAAUAAGAGGGGCACGCCCCUAGUAGAGGAAUUCUCUCUCUCUCUCUCNNNNNNNNNNNNNNNNNNNNNNNNNNNNNNNNNNNNNNNNNNNNNNNNNNNNNNNNNNNNNNNNNNNNNNNNNNNNNNNNNNNNNNNNNNNNNNNNNNNNNNNNNNNNNNNNNNNNNUUACUCUACACUAGAGUAGGUAAGACGAACGAAACUAACUAACAACUAACUAAAGAAGACGUACCGUACCUACUACUCUCUACUACUAUACUCUUACUACUUAACUACUACUCUUCUCUCUCCACUAUACAUAAGAGGACGACGACCGUACGUAGUAGAGUCUCUCUCUCUCUCUCUCUCUCUCUCUCUCUCUCUCUCUCUCUCUUAUCAAAAUUAAGGGGCAUGCCUCACCUAGACGGAAACUUCUCUCAUCUUGGAAAUUCUCUCUCCUUAAAAAAAACCCUAAGGGGGGCACACCCCACUCUCUCUCUCUCAUGAUUGCUCUUUUGUCUCCCAUCAUCUCUCAUCUCUCAUCUCACAUUGGGGUUAAGAAUGCAGGGUGUGGUAGAAAGAGAAGCAUCUCUCUCAAAGUAGGUUAUCAAAGGGGUUCACUUAGCUAUUAAAUUUGUAAUUAAAGGGGUUCAUGUUUCAUUGGUGUGGCUUGUCCAAAACUUGAUUUCCUAAUUGAGAUUGAAGGUUGACCAUUAGAUCCCGCGCUAUCGGAAGGUAGUGACUCGGUGUGGGGUGCAAGAAGCUUGGUUGAGGUAAUAUCCGACAUCCUCUUUUGUUUCUUGCGUAUUUAUUUCUUAUGUCUGGUAUUCCCAAGCCUAUGUUGUGUCUUUUCUUUGUUAUUGAAAGAAAGGUUUUUGAAUGGCUUCAAGUUCUUGAGAUCUUAUUGUAUUCUUUUUUUAUACAUUAUUUGAAGUUAUUAUAAUGUAAAAAGACUACUUGUAAGUGAUAUAGGCCGUGAAAAAAAUAAAAAAAAUUGAAAAAAAAUAUAUUAUAUACUCCGACUAGAUCACACGAGUCCUUCUUUCAACACACACUUGUGCAUUGCUUGCAUUUUCUUUACUACGAUACUUGAUGUUGCCAUUGAUAAAAGUUCUUCAGCAAUAGUCAAGGUGGUGUCCAAUAGAGCAAGUUUAUCAUCUGCUUUUAACCCUGGAAUUUAUUUUUUGUUAUUAUUAUUAUUAUUAUUUUAUUUUUUUGAAAUGUAGAAGUUGAAAAAGGGUCUCAUUGUGAUUCCUAUUAAAUUAGAGUAUUGGUCAUUGAAAACUACUUUAAAAUGCCAAAUUACUACACUUAUAUUUUCCUUAAAAGAUUGAGGGUUUUUAGGGAGCAAGAAUGUAACCCUAUUCAUCUUUAUAUGUAUAUAUGGGUCAAGGAAGCAAUAAUAUCCUUUUAUGGUCACUCCUUUAGUGUCGUCGAAAGGGAUCCCCAAGAAAGAGAUGGAUCUCUAAUGUAAGACAUGGACUCCUAGAGAGGUGCUAUUUCGAUAGGGUUUUAGUUUGGGGUGAAUUUUCACUUCUAGAGAAAGGCUCUCUUAUUUACUCUCGAGGUUAACUUUUUCAUUUAAUGGCAAAAAAAGAGGAGAUUGAUUGUCAAUAUUUUUGGGUCGGGAGAGCAAAUUUAGAAGGGAAGAUCAAUAAGGGUGGAUUAUGUUUAGAGAGAGGUAUAGCUCUUAUAACUCAAAAUUAUUAGUUCAAUAAGAUAAUGGAUCUCUACUUGCUGAGGCCAUGGACAUAGUCCAACUAGGAUAAACUAUAUAAUCAAGUGGGAUUAUAGUAUAUCAUUUAUUUUACUUUAUUUCUUGCACCUUUUUGGUUCUCAUAUUUACUUGUUUCUCACCUUGACAACUACAUACACAAUCCUGGGUGGGAUUUUGGGAUUUGAGGUUCCUAAUUCUGCAAGCGACGAUUCUCUAGGACCCUACAAUUAAUAUCAAAGAACACAAUAUGUAUGGAUCUAAGGUUUUUUUUGUUACCAAUGGAGAAAAAGAUGAAAGGCGAAGCUAAAUGGAUAUAUGAUUUGAGGUGGAGAAACAUAGAGGUACAAUACAUGUGAAAAUUUCGCAAUAAAAGCAAGAGGGAGGAAAUAAAAAAUAAUCCAAUAGAGGUUAGCAAGGCAAUUAUGAUAAUUUUAAUGUCAAAGUGGUGACUAGUAGGUUUGGUGAUGAUCAAAUCACUACACCUAUGCUUUUCUCAAAAGAUUGGGGGUAUUAUGAUAAAAGAAAAAAGGGAAUUUUUUUGGGGACCAAGAAUGAAACCCUAGGGGUCUUAAUAUAAAUGAGCCAAAAAAGCCAUAAUACUCAUACUUUUAGGAUCACCCCUUUAAAGUCAUGGGCAUGGAUCUUCAAGAGAGAGAUGGGUCAAGUGAGAUAUGACCUCCUAUAGAGAGUCAGUAUUCGCAUGGGAUAUUAGGUUGAUUGAAUUUUCUAGAGAGAAAAAAUAUCUCAGUUGCUCUAAAUAUUUUCCUUUUGGUAGCAAUGUAGAGGUAGGAAAAUAUAUGAUAGUCAGCCACGUUAUUCGAUUGCAAGAACAAAUUUAGAAGGGAUGAUCGACAAGAAUAUUUUUGUUGCUUGUAAAGAUACAUCUCUUGUAACCCAAAAUUGUAAUCUUCAUUAAGAUAAUAGAUUUUUAUUAGUCGAUGGCAUGGACAUAGCCUCAUAAACCAUAUAAAAUGUGUAUCGUUGUGGUUUACCUUUUAUUAUUCUUUUAUUCCUCGCACUUUUUUUGUCGUUGCAUUCACUUAUUUUUCAUCUAGCUAUGUGCACAAUCUUGGGUGGAUCCCAAUAUUUGAGGUUCUUAGUUCCAUUUAGCCAGCUCAAGGACCCUAUAAUUAGUAUCAGAGCACAUAGUAUAUGCAGGCGUCAGUUUUGAUGUUAUUGGUGGAGAAAAGGAUGAAAGGUAAAAUUCAAUGGAUACAUGGUUUGAGGUGGAGACAUAUAGAGGCAAAGCAUAUGUGAAAAUUACAUAAUGAAGGCAAGAUGGAAGAAUUCAAAAAAUCUAUUUUUACAUCAUAUCAUUACCUUGCCAAACAUCCACUUGAUACCAAAUCACACCUUGAACUUUUCAAAGCUUCACUCUUUCCCUUUCUCGAAACCAAGAGAACUUAGACUCGAUUUCUAACUUCUCUAUUGGUACCAGCUUUGUAAGCAUGUAUGCCAGGAUACAAUCUUGAUCUUAGCCAAUUGAGUUCUCCUAUCUUCAACAACUUACUUAAUAUAAUAAUAUUGAGCCAAUAUGUAUCUCGACAUCUUGUGAUGAACUAGAUUAUUAAUUAAGUGAAUGGCACCUAUCUUGUCACAUAAUAGUUAUAUGGGCUUUACAUGUAAUACCUAUUUCACUAAUCAAUCGUUGGAACUAUACUACUCCUUUUCACGCCUCUAUUAUUGUUAGUGCUAUAAUGUCUUGGAGCCUUGACAUCCAAUGUGACGGUACAUUUGCAAAUUGAGAAAUAGAUGUAGUAAUUGAUCCACCUCUAUCAAGACAACCAAUAAAAUUUACAUUGACAAAACUUUGCAUUGAAUUCAAGCCCUUGCAAAAUGUGCUUGUAUAAUUAGUUGUGCCUAUAAAUGAAGCACCGAUUUUGUUGCCUCCUAAUAAACACAUUUUUGGGUUCAACAUAAACUGACUUAAUACACAAACCGCAUGGGCACUAUUUAGUCUAGUACACAGUAUGGUGAGAAUCAAGAUAUCAAUGUCAUUGUAGUGAGAAGAAGUAGGACUUGUCCCACAUUGAAAAUUUAAGACAUGGAACGCCUUGAUAAAACAAAUGUCACUCUCAUACCUAUAACAAUGGCUUGCAUGUAUGAGUUGGAAAUGCACAAAGAUGAGGCAUCACUAAGGAUAUGAGCACUCCUCAUAUGUUGAAAAAUAAAAACAAGUACCAUUUUCAAACAAUGUUGGACUCGUGAACAUGUGACGUGUUCGGUUUUAUCUUAAAAGAGUCGAUUUCAAUAUAUUGAGGGAGGGAUCCAAAUUGCCAGACCCGGUUCCUAGAGUAGUUUUCUAAGAGAGUCGACCUCAAGGAGUCGUUUUCUAAAAGAGUCGUUUUCAGAGAGAGUUGUCUGGAUCUCAAUAUAGAGAGUCCUCUAGAGUCGUUGUCAAAGAGAGUCGUCUAGAUCUCAAAGAGUCGUCGAGAUCUCAAAGAGUCCUCUAAAAGAGUCAGUUUUCUAAGAGAGUCAUGUGGAUCUCAAUAUAGAGUCGUUUUCUAAGAGAGUUGUCUGGAUCUCAAUAUAUUGAGAGAUCCAAAUCGCGCCAUCAACGAUUCUCGAUCUAAAUUGAGCAAUUUCGAUCCAAAUCACCAAAUUUUCAAACCUUGUGUAGCAUGGUUGCAAAGCCACCCUAGAUUGUCGAUUCUCGAUCUAAAUUGAGCAAAUUUCAAUCCAAAUCGCCAAAUUUUCAAACCUUGUGCAGCAUGGUAGCAAAGCCACCCUAGGUUGUCUUCAUCUUUUGGUUUGUGAUUUACUUUUUGGUGUCUGCCAUUCUCUCAUGGAAGCAAAUUGAACACUUGCUCCCUCAAGAAAAAACCCACUUUGGAGGAUUUAUUUGAAUGAAAAUCGGUUAAUAUUCUUGAAUCAAACAAAUGAUUUCAAAGAAGAAAACAUGAAAUUGAUUUUUCAGUUCCUAAACACCUAGAUCUGAUCAUUUGAAAAAUAUUGAGUUUCUAAAUACGUUGAUCUCUUCAUUGGAACAUAUAUUCACUUUUGACAUCAGAAUUGCUUCAGGUAAAUGAGUAAUAAGGUAGGAUUUUAAUUUCUUUUUCAAAAUAGAUAGGAUGAGUGGAUUACAAUCCCAAAAUUACGAUAUGAGAUUGAUCAAGAAACAAGCUGAGAAGCUCAAUUUAUUAUUAUCUUCUUAUUUUUCACAAAAAUAGUUGUUUUAUGGGCCCUAAAAUACCGAUCCAUCAAUUUCUCCUUCAAAUCUCAACUAAAAAACCUUGAAAUGUAUUUAAAUUGUUGGUGAUUAAGCUCCUUAUCAAUGGCCUAUUUUACUUUAUUGGAGAAAAUAAAAAUUUGAAGAGAGAAAGGCCCAAAAUUUCAGGUUUAUCAUCAUCUAAGCUCAGAUCUCUAAUUUGGCACAUUUUUUGAGGUUCAAUUGACAAUUUUAUUAGGAAUUAUUAUCUAGAUUGUAUUAAGAUUGAUGUAAACCAGGGUUUUUAUUUUUGAAUAAUAUUUGUAUUUAUUUUAAUUUUCUCAGUUUAGGGUUUUCUCAAAAUUAUUUAGAAAGAUAAAAUAUUUUAAUAAGAUUAUUAUGUUAAUAUUUAUCAUUUUUGUCUUAUGUAGGGUUUAGAUAAACUUUUAACAAUAUUUGAAUUUAUCUGGAUUUUUCCUUGAGUUUGGGAUUUCCUGAAAAUUUUCUAAAAUCUGAAUUUCAGAUUAUUAUUUUUGUGCUCGAGAUUGACCUAGGUAGGGUAGAUAAUUUUUAAUAAUAUUUUUAUUAUUUUAUUUCUUUCUUGGUUUAAAACUUUUAUGAAAAUUCUAGAAGAUUAGAAUUCUUUUUGCAAAUGUUGGAUAAAUUUUAUUUUGUUCUAGGCUGUAUUAGGUAUUAUUUUAUAUAGUUUUUGAAUGAUUUUCAUAUCUAUUUGAAAUAUUUGUCUCAGUUUAGUGUAUUUAUGAAAAGUUUGAGAAAUAUUCAUAAAAGUUUUGUAUUUUUUUUUUUUUUUUGUCCUUUUUUGUUUUAGUCUCUAAGUAGAGGUCUGAAUAUUUUUUUAGUAGUAUUUGUAUUUAUGUUAUCCUUUGUCUCAGUUUAGAGCUUUCCUCGAUAAUUUUGAGAAAUCUCUAAAAUUUUUGUAAAUGUUAUGUUAAUUUGUUUUUGCUAAGAAGUGCCUAAAUUUUAUUUUUCUUGUUUUCUAUUAGGCAAAUUUUAAAUUUUAUUAUUAUUCUUCUUCUUUUUCUUGCUUUUUUUUAACAAAACUAUUUACCAUCUAAUGAUUGUGGCACUCAAACAGGAACAGAAUCUCCGUGUUCACACAUAUUGGACAAUUCUAUCUAAGGAAAAAGUUUACAUAAAUGCGAAGCUCUAAACAAUGCACCUCAAAAUCAUUAGAAGAGGUUAUUUUGAUGCUCAAAAAUCCUCAAAUUGAACAUCUCGACCUCAAAUGAACAUAAGAAAAAACUGGAUUUCAAGUUUUGGAAAUAGUGCAUCUUGUAAUGCAUUUUUCGACCAUCAAUUUUCAAGAUUUUCAAGAUUUCAUAGAUAUGUUCGAUCUUCACUAUUUUUUAUGCUUUAAAUUUUAUAAUUAGAAAUGAAAAUAUAUAUUACGACUAUCACAAAGAUUUCCCGUAUUGAAACCACAUUCCUUGACACUAUUUGAAGGUGCGCUUUACUUUGAUUGUUUAGAGCCUCAGCUUCAUACAAACUGCACCCUUCUCAAUUAACUAAAAUUUGAUUUUUGAAUUUUUUUUAUAAGCAUGAGAUGCCUAUUCCUCUCUUAAAACCAAGGUUAUCGGCUCGAGCAGCCGAACAUGCCACCUAUCGGAUUCCAAUUGUAUAUUGGUUGAUUUAGACUGGUUUGACUGACUCGUUGGUCAUCCCGUGCUUAUAAAAAAGAUCAAAAAAAUUCAAAAAAAAAUUAAAAUCAAAUUUUAUGGUUUUUGGAAAUUUUUGAUAAAUAUAUUGUAGAGUUUGAUGGAAUUGACCAAAAUGUGCUAAUACCAAGUCUGUUUGAGUGUUCGAAACUCUGCCAUAAGAUGCAGUUUUGGUUUCAAAAAUCUUAAUAUGACUUAAAAAUCUAUUUAAUUUCCUAACUAUAAAAAUUUAAAGUUCUAAAAAUACUAGAGAUUAAACAGAUUUAUAAACAUUUGAAAAUCUCAUAAAAAGAUGUUUCAGAUAAAAUGUUAUAAAAUGCAUUAUUUUAAGGGUUUAAAUCUUUCUCUUUCUAUAUAUCAAGGUCGAGAGAUCGUUUUUCAAUCUUCCCCAAUGGAUUUUUGAAGUGCACUUACCUAAACUUUUCUUUUGCUACCAGGUAGAGAGGUAGUUUCAUAUUGUUAUCUUCUAGAGAAAGAGAGGGGUGUGCCGGUUGUGGGCUAGCCAUCUACGUAGGUCCGAGAAUGGGUCAGCUCGGGUCCGAAUCCACCAGGAUCUAGAUUCAGAUUCAAAAGUAUACAUGGUAUCCAUAUGAGGAUUCAAUCGGAUCCAAAAAAAAUUAUUUUACAGAUUAUUUCACAUUUAUAAAAUCAUCUAAAAUAAUAUAUAACCAAAAAUAUUAUACGGCAUUAUGUAUGGGACUGUUUACAAUAAGAGUAUUUACCUUUGAUACAAGGGGGUCGCAAUUAUUUAUAGCCAUCUGAUGUGAAAUAUGAUAGCUUGGGAGUAUCACAAAGUUCAAAAAAAUUUAUUUUGAAAUUUGUGUGUGGUCAAUGGAAUAAAUACAACCAUCUAAUUUCACAUCUGAUGGUCAAAAUUAAUUGUGACCACCUUGUAUCAAAGGUAAAUGGUCUCAUUGUGAGCUUUUCAUAUAUAUAUAUAUAUAUAUAAUAUUUUAAUAAUUGGGUUAGAUCCGAAUCACAUCUGCAUGUACUCGGAUCCAAUCCGAACUACUAUUAAGAUCUAAAUUUUAGAUCCAAAUAUGUCCUGAUCCAAAUACUGAAUCCAUAUCUGGAUCUAAAUAAGAUCCGGUUCCAGAUCCAACAGGGUAAAUUCUCAGCUCUACAUGUACGCACGGGAAGAAAGAUGUAGAGGUUGUAUGGUCCGUCAGGUGGGGAUUUUGGACCACAUAAAAGCAUGUUGAGAGAGGGCAAGAAAGGUUACCUUUUAAAAUGGCUUAGUAUGGGCCCUCAAAGAUAUAUCAGAGUAUGAUUUGUGUGCCCUGAGGCACCAAUCCCUUUGUCGGAAUUUGGUCUCAUGUUUUUUUUUUCUCAAAAAUCAAGCAAAUAUAUAGUGGGCCACAUUUACGGCUGUCUCAUGUGCUUUUUGUAGUCCAUGAUUUGACCUCACUUUAUCUCAUUCCCCUCAUGAAGCCUCCAAAGGAAUAAAUUUGGGAUUCUAAGGAGGAAAAAUGAGUAAGAUAGAUAUUAGAAGAUCUCAUGAAGGAUAAUAGAUGUCAAAGAGAUAUAAGAUUAUACGAAGAAACAAAGGAAAUAUUUAUCUUCACAAGAAAAGAGAGGAGAGGGGUUCAAUUUGAAGAGAUAGAUUUUUUUUUUUUUAAGGGUGAAUUAGUGGGGCAAAAGGGUAGGGACCCUUUCCGUCAUCACUGAUUCACCGAAUAAAAAUUAUAUCCCUGAGACAUAGCACUGCAAAUCAUCAAGUGCUAACCAAUUAAGCAUGGCCUCUUUUCCAAAAGAAGAGACCCAUUCUUUUUCUUUUCCUAAGUUCCAUCCUUUCACAUUGAAAACCAUAAGCUUGGAUUUUGAUUGAAUUCACACCUGAAUUUUCUAGAUGGAGAGAUUUGUCGAAGGCUGCAUUCUAAAGGAGACAAAGAUUCCUAAUAUGGGAAUAAUUUGACAAUGUGCUAGCCAGGACUAGAUCAAUCCUCGAAUGAGCAAAAUAAAUUAUGGCAAUGAGGAAUAGUGCAUUAAAAACCGAACAGAUGGGGUCAAAUUGGGGACCACUAGUUUUGAGCCGAUUUGUCAAUUCUUUUAGGUUUUUCUUAUUGAAAUUUUUCAAAAAAUAGAAGGAUUGAUAUCUAAUGCAAAUCAUGGAAUUUCAAGGUAUAUAGCUCUUGAAUGCUCUAGAAUUUUGAGCGCAUUGUAGUAAGAAAAUGGCUUAUCAGCAUGAUUGAGGAGAACUUUGAUUUUAGGAUUUUAAGCAUGUUUUUUUAAUCAUGUAGCCUUGGAUUCAUGGACAUAAUCAUGAAUUUCAAGAGUGGUACAAGAUUACCUACUAUUGGGGCAGAUCUUGGUCUCUAGGUGGAUAUUCCCACAAAGGCCAUGGUAAGCUUUAAGAUCUAUCUAUUUAGGGAAAUCUUUCUUUGACUCUGGUUUAUGUCUCUCUUUAAGCAUAUAAUCAGGGAAUGGAGCCUCAAAUAAGAGAUUUGAUGAGUGUUCUUUGUGAAUUAAUAUGAAUAUGAAUACAUAAAGCAAAAAACAGUAUGAAAAAGGGCUUAACACAUUAAAUUGAAAGAAUAUGAUGCGUCAGACUUUGUGCUGCCAUCUUCUAAAAUUGACAACAUCAAAUAGAUCUAGCCUUAUAAAAUCCUGAUUCAUCAUUCUAAACGUGUUGUCAUCUUUUGAAGUUUUAUACUUUGAAAUUGUUGAGUUUCGUCGGUCAUCGUGAGUAAAAAUAAUAAGAAUAUGCGUUCUACAUUGUAGUUCAAUCAGUCAGAGCACCGCCCUGUCAAGGCAAAAGCUGUGGGUUCGAUCUUCGUCAGUCCCGAUUAUGAUUUGAUGAAUGGGUCUCCUCGACAAACUUGCUACUAGCCCAAGAUCAAUAUUGGCCUGAUAAUCAUAGAAAUCCUGAUCUGUACUUUGACCCAACUUGUAUUCUGACUAAAGUUCUAUUUUUUGAUCGACAUUCUAUUUUGAAAGGGGCUCGAAUUGAAAGGAGCUCAAUCUGAAAGGAACUCUAACUAAAAGGAGCUCAAAUUAAAAUGAGCUCGAAUUGAAAUGAGCUCUAACUGAACUACAAACUUGGAGGUACGAGAUAGUAUCCCUUCUUUGAACGCCCAUGUUUCAAUAAAAUAACCAAGAUGC
Molecule: long non-coding RNA, 26644 nt
Filed under: Amborella trichopoda
Lineage: Eukaryota; Viridiplantae; Streptophyta; Magnoliopsida; Amborellales; Amborellaceae
Description: long non-coding RNA (ATRI_LNC004598)
Source: RNAcentral